AGCCUGCCUGACCAGGCCCUUCCUCGAGUCCUGGCCCUCGCCGCUCACCCAGAUGGGGGCCGGCCAGACGGCCAGCAGCAGAGCAGCUAUCAGUCGGCUUGCGCGGUCCCAGCUUCAGACGCAUGUUCUUACCGGCUUCUGAAGAACCCACACACCUCUUCUCACACCGGAUGUGCUUCUGACUCUCCCAGGGUCCAGUCCAGACUCCUCACUCAGCGUCUGCCCGUCGAAGGAAGCUCCGCCUCUGCGUUCCGCUUAAAGCCAGUCCUCAUUGGCCGUUGGCCGCACCUCUACCUUGCCAUUGGCUGUACGUGCGUAAACAACGGCUGCUUACUUCAGAGCCAUUCGCUACUGCCCUUGUCAGUCAAGACUCUGGCCGCCAACCGGUGUCGUAGCAAAAGGUCUCCGCCUCUUCCCCGUAGUUGGGAAAGACCGCGGUCUAACACCGCCCCUAGUGGAGGAAGUGGAGAGGGGCAGGCCCCACCCAGAUACCUGACUAGUCGCGGAACCCCUACAACGCUAGAUGGGAAAGCGCGGCUAAGUCCUGGGAUUCUGCUUUUAAGCUUCUCAUGGAAUGUUAAAGCGGGAAAGAAAUUCAGAUAACACGUAAAAAAGGGCUCUCACAGGAGUCAAUCUACCUUUAAUCUUGCCGAGUUUAGGCUUUAGAGCACUCCUGGUAGGCUCAGCGAACUGUCCAGGAAUGCGAGGAAAAUAUAGCAGCCCCAGUCCUGCAUCGGAAGCACCGACACCUUCUAGCCCAAGUGGUGGUCCUGGGGCCGCGGGCGGGGCUGACGGGCUUUCAGAAUCACCUUGCCUGCUUGGGGGAAAUGGGCGACAACUUAACAAUCAUUUCGGUCUGUGAAAGUAGGGAGAGGGAACGAGGGUGGCGACCUGGCAAAACUGCCCGGGCAGCCCGGAGAAACUGAACCAAGAGAGAUGAGAGGGCUGGAGUUACCCAAGGGCUUGUCCCGGGCCAGAAGCAUCACCUGUGCAAAAACUCAUAGUAAGGAGUUGUGACCCUGAUUAAAAAAAAAAAAAGUUUAUACACUGUCAAAUUUUUUAACUCGUUUUUUUACUAAUUUAUCUAAUAUCUCUAUAAGAAUAGUACAAAAUUGACAUAUGAAGAGGCAAAGAGUAUGCAGCCAAAAAAAUGUAGUAAAAAAAAAGAGUUUAUAGUGGUUGCCAGUCAGUUUAAAAUACUCCUUUUUUUUCUGGAUUGUGUGACGUUUGCUGUUUUGUCAGCAUUUUAAAAUAGACAAUGAUUCUUUUUCUUAUUCUAAAUAAAUAUUGACUUAUUA
Long non-coding RNA from Suricata suricatta (meerkat), 1298 nucleotides. RefSeq lists it as uncharacterized. NCBI's taxonomy places the organism in Eukaryota, Metazoa, Chordata, Mammalia, Carnivora, Herpestidae. The transcript has 2 exons. The record is from RefSeq and is a predicted model, not a curated record.